Molecule: ribosomal RNA, 433 nt
Filed under: uncultured bacterium
Lineage: Bacteria
Description: bacterial SSU rRNA
Rfam family: Bacterial small subunit ribosomal RNA
Source: RNAcentral
GAACGCGAAGAACCUUACCAGGUCUUGACAUCCUCUGACAACCCUAGAGAUAGGGCUUCUCCUUCGGGAGCAGAGUGACAGGUGGUGCAUGGUUGUCGUCAGCUCGUGUCGUGAGAUGUUGGGUUAAGUCCCGCAACGAGCGCAACCCUUGAUCUUAGUUGCCAUCAUUAAGUUGGGCACUCUAAGGUGACUGCCGGUGACAAACCGGAGGAAGGUGGGGAUGACGUCAAAUCAUCAUGCCCCUUAUGACCUGGGCUACACACGUGCUACAAUGGACGGUACAAAGAGCUGCAAGACCGCGAGGUGGAGCUAAUCUCAUAAAACCGUUCUCAGUUCGGAUUGUAGGCUGCAACUCGCCUACAUGAAGCUGGAAUCGCUAGUAAUCGCGGAUCAGCAUGCCGCGGUGAAUACGUUCCCGGGUCUUGUACACACC